GAUGAAGAACGUAGCGAAAUGCGAUAAGUAAUGUGAAUUACAGAAUUCAGUGAAUCAUCGAAUCUUUGAACGCACCUUGCGCCCUUUGGCCAUUCCGAAGGGCAUGCCUGUUUGAGUAUCAUGAACACCUCAACUCUUCAUGGUUUUCCAUGAUGAGCUUGGACUUUGGGGGUCUUGCUGGCCUGUGGGUCGGCUCCUCUCAAAUGAAUCAGCUUGCCGGUUUUUGGUGGGCAUCACAGGUGUGAUAACUAUCUACGCUUGUGGUUUUCCACCAGGGUAACCUUCAGCAGUGGAGGUUCACUGGAGCUUACAAAUGUCUCUCCUCUGUGAGGACAGCCCUUUGAAUGUUUGAUCUCAAAUCAGGUAGGACUACCCGCUGAACUUAAGCAUAUCAAUAAGCGGAGGA
RNAcentral lists this unclassified non-coding RNA (406 nucleotides) under soil metagenome. RNAcentral describes it as "partial contains 5.8S ribosomal RNA, internal transcribed spacer 2, and large subunit ribosomal RNA". The stretch from base 1 to 121 matches the Rfam family "5.8S ribosomal RNA", at positions 35 to 154 of the family's 154-position model. The record is from RNAcentral.